Molecule: ribosomal RNA, 580 nt
Filed under: uncultured Lysinibacillus sp.
Lineage: Bacteria; Bacillati; Bacillota; Bacilli; Caryophanales; Bacillaceae
Description: bacterial SSU rRNA
Rfam family: Bacterial small subunit ribosomal RNA
Source: RNAcentral
UAGGGAAUCUUCCACAAUGGGCGAAAGCCUGAUGGAGCAACGCCGCGUGAGCGAAGAAGGUUUUCGGAUCGUAAAGCUCUGUUGUAAGGGAAGAACAAGUGCAGUAGUAACUGACUGCACCUUGACGGUACCUUAUUAGAAAGCCACGGCUAACUACGUGCCAGCAGCCGCGGUAAUACGUAGGUGGCAAGCGUUGUCCGGAAUUAUUGGGCGUAAAGCGCGCGCAGGCGGUCCUUUAAGUCUGAUGUGAAAGCCCUCGGCUCAACCGAGGAGGGUCAUUGGAAACUGGAGGACUUGAGUGCAGAAGAGGAAAGCGGAAUUCCAAGUGUAGCGGUGAAAUGCGUAGAGAUUUGGAGGAACACCAGUGGCGAAGGCGGCUUUCUGGUCUGUAACUGACGCUGAGGCGCGAAAGCGUGGGGAGCAAACAGGAUUAGAUACCCUGGUAGUCCACGCCGUAAACGAUGAGUGCUAAGUGUUAGGGGGUUUCCACCCCUUAGUGCUGCAGCUAACGCAUUAAGCACUCCGCCUGGGGAGUACGGUCGCAAGACUGAAACUCAAAGGAAUUGACGGACUACGAGUA